RNA transcript from Lolium perenne, 1086 nucleotides. RefSeq lists it as uncharacterized. The record is from RefSeq and is a predicted model, not a curated record. Lineage: Eukaryota; Viridiplantae; Streptophyta; Magnoliopsida; Poales; Poaceae.
CACAUCUCUAAACAAAAUCACGGCGUCAUACACAGAUCGGAUCUGAGCUGUUGUUCUUGGUUGAGCGGCGCUCACGGCGUACGUCAUGACGGCGUCGACCCAGCGAACCACACCAACAUCUCAGGUUAAAUCCUUUCUCCCAAUCUCCACUGCUUAGAUGUGCAGCUCUCAAAUCCCAAUCGCCCCGUUCCCAAUCUCCUACUAGAACUAAAUCGCCAACGGCAUGGCCCCUUUACAAUCCAUGCUCGACGUGCUGUCGUCGAUGCUGUCCAUUGCCUCGGCCACGGCGAGCAUAUCUAUGGCGGCCGCGACCACGACCAGGCUUGCCAAUACCUCGUCGAUCCCGCGAUCUAUCAUGUGGUCUGCUUUUGAUUACUCUAUAAUAGCAUCAGUAGACUUCUGUUUGUUAAUGCGCUCAAUGCUGUGCAGAAGCUGUAGUCACUCUGAUCGUGCCAAGCAUAGUAAAUGUGGAAUGUUGACAGUUGCCACUGUGAGGGGUUGGUGCCAUGAACUGAUAUAAAUGAAAUCAUGAACAAAGUACCACCGUGGUUUCUCGUUUUUCACUGUCCUCACACUUCCAGCAAAUGUAGUGCGAACUAAUCUCUUCCAUUACUACUUAGACAUGCGAUUCCUUUGCAUCUGUAGGAAAACUUAUUUCAUUUUAUGCCUUCUUUACAUAUUUUGUGUCUUUCUGAAACUGACUCAAAUUCUGAUAUUACCUGCACAAGGCAACGAUGAAUUCUACGGAGCAUGUUGCUGUAAGGAAAAGCUCUAUUGUCUUCACAGGGAUUGAAAGUAUAACAUCAUACAUACACAAACGUGGACAACCCAGAUUGGAACCAAAGAAAUAGCGGAGAGGGUACAAGUAAUGGGAAAAACGCACCUACAUUAGAGAUUUCAGGAACCAAGAUAGUGAUGUACUAUACUGUACAUCAUGGACAGUUUAUUCUUACACACUUAAUUAGGAUGGCUACAUUUUACUUGAGAUUCAUUUGAUGGAUAUUUGCGAUGAGAAUUUUGAUUUGUAUGAACCGACAUAUUAUACGUAUGGUUUUGAGUUUUGUAAUUUAAUGGCUGUUUUUUCUA